AGAGUUUGAUCCCGGCUCAGAAUCAACGCUGGCGGCGUGCCUAACACAUGCAAGUCGAACGAGAAAGCUGGAGCAAUCCAGUGAGUAAAGUGGCGUACGGGUGAGUAACACGUGGAUCAUCUACCUCUUAGUGUGGAAUAACCCAGGGAAACCGGGGCUAAUACCGCAUAAGUCCGUGAGGAGAAAGCAGCAAUGCGCUGAGAGAGGAGUCCGCGGCCGAUUAGCUAGUUGGCAGGGUAAAAGCCUACCAAGGCAGAGAUCGGUAGCCGGCCUGAGAGGGCACACGGCCACACUGGCACUGAAACACGGGCCAGACUCCUACGGGAGGCAGCAGUGGGGAAUCUUGCACAAUGGGGGAAACCCUGAUGCAGCGACGCCGCGUGAGCGAUGAAGCCCUUCGGGGUGUAAAGCUCUUUCGGCAGGGAAGAUUAUGACGGUACCUGCAGAAGCAGCUGCGGCUAACUACGUGCCAGCAGCCGCGGUAAUACGUAGGCAGCGAGCGUUGUUCGGAGUUACUGGGCGUAAAGGGUGUGUAGGCGGUCGCCUAAGUUUGGUGUGAAAUCUCCCGGCUCAACCGGGAGGGUGCGCCGAAUACUGAGUGACUAGAGUGUGGGAGAGGAAAGUGGAAUUCCUGGUGUAGCGGUGAAAUGCGUAGAUAUCAGGAGGAACACCGGCGGUGUAGACGGCUUUCUGGACCAUAACUGACGCUGAAACACGAAAGCGUGGGUAGCAAACAGGAUUAGAUACCCUGGUAGUCCACGCCCUAAACGAUGCAUAUUUGGUGUGGGUCAUUCAGUUGAUCCGUGCCGGAGCUAACGCGUUAAAUAUGCCGCCUGGGGAGUACAGUCGCAAGGCUGAAACUCAAAGGAAUUGACGGGGGCCCGCACAAGCGGUGGAGCAUGUGGUU
RNAcentral lists this ribosomal RNA (907 nucleotides) under Bryobacterales bacterium. RNAcentral describes it as "bacterial SSU rRNA". It matches the Rfam family "Bacterial small subunit ribosomal RNA", at positions 8 to 946 of the family's 1533-position model. The record is from RNAcentral. Lineage: Bacteria; Pseudomonadati; Acidobacteriota; Terriglobia; Bryobacterales.